UUCCCUGUGCCCACAAUGACUCAGUCACUCUCGCCCUGGAGCAAGGCAGGAGCUGCCUCCACUCUCUGCCAUAGUGGACAUCAAUCUUUGAACUAUUUCACUAGUUUCAGAGCUUUGCGUGGACCUGAGGCUGGUUGUUCUCAGCCGGUGUGUUGGGACUCACUGAGCUGUGGUUGGAUCACCUUACAGGACACGGCCAUGGUCAGUGUGCUGGAGCAGCCGAGUCGCCCGGGUUCCUUUGAUGACUUGGCUGAGCUGUUCCUGCACCGUCUGCAGCAGGAGCCAUGGGCGCUGGGUGGCUUCGUGGUCAUGGUGGUGUUCGUUCUAGGAGUGCUGUCUCUGGUUCUCUUUGCUCUUCUUUAUGGACGCUGCCACGACACGCAGGAAAGGACGCAAGAGAGGAAGAAAGAGCUAAGGGAUAAUGCAGCGAUUUAAACGUGAGCGGGGUGACAGGCAUGUGACUUUCAAAGUAAAGUUUACGACUCAAAGGGAGAAUCUGCUUCUGUCGUUGGUUCGGUUUGGUUUUCCCUCAGCUCCCCAGGUGAAGGUGCAUACCUGUCCGCCGUCAGCUCACCUGUUUGCAGUCACCAUCCCAUAGUUCAGUAGCUCCUUGCUUCAUCCCUGACUUGUCAGAUCCUUCUGUUAACCCCACCCUGUUGGUUCCUGCUUUAUUCUGAGUGCUUCAGUUUUUUAUUAAAAGUAUUUUGGAGUUAA
This is an RNA transcript of Nothobranchius furzeri (turquoise killifish), 714 nucleotides long. RefSeq lists it as uncharacterized. The record is from RefSeq and is a predicted model, not a curated record. NCBI's taxonomy places the organism in Eukaryota, Metazoa, Chordata, Actinopteri, Cyprinodontiformes, Nothobranchiidae.